This 77-nucleotide transfer RNA is filed under the name Bacillota bacterium. Its description in RNAcentral is "Firmicutes bacterium (anaerobic digester metagenome) tRNA-Pro". It matches the Rfam family "tRNA". From Rfam's summary of the family: Transfer RNA (tRNA) molecules are approximately 80 nucleotides in length. Their secondary structure includes four short double-helical elements and three loops (D, anti-codon, and T loops). Lineage: Bacteria; Bacillati; Bacillota. The record is from RNAcentral.
CGGGGUAUAGCUCAGUUUGGUAGAGCGCUUGCUUGGGGUGCAAGAGGCCAGCGGUUCAAAUCCGCUUACUCCGACCA